CGCCUCUCGAUACACAAAUAUGAGAGGUCCUGCCUGCCCAGUGAUUUUUUCAACGGCCGCGGUAUUAUGACCGUGCAAAGGUAGCAUAAUCACUUGUCUUUUAAAUUAAGACCAGCAUGAAUGGCUAAACGAGAGCCCAACUGUCUCCUUAAGUUAGUCAAUGAAAUUGAUCUUUCCGUGCAGAAGCGGAAAUAAAAAUAUAAGACGAGAAGACCCUGUGGAGCUUAAAAAUAAAGCUAUAUAGAUAUCUACAAUAGCAUAAAAUUUAGGUUGGGGCGACCCUGAGGUAUAAUAUAACCCUCAAGACAACAACUAGAAGGACACUUCAAACAAAAAGUAAAACUAAACCUGACCCAUUAAUGAUCAACGAACCAAGUUACCCCAGGGAUAACAGCGCAAUCCAUUUCCAGAGCCCAUAUCGACAAAUGGGUUUACGACCUCGAUGUUGGAUCAGGACCCCCUAAUGGUGCAACAACUAUUAAAGGUUCGUUUGUUCAACGAUUAAAGUCCU
RNAcentral lists this ribosomal RNA (511 nucleotides) under Chiropterotriton sp. IBH CNAR 30086. RNAcentral describes it as "partial large subunit ribosomal RNA". It matches the Rfam family "Bacterial large subunit ribosomal RNA", at positions 1817 to 2597 of the family's 2925-position model. Lineage: Eukaryota; Metazoa; Chordata; Amphibia; Caudata; Plethodontidae. The record is from RNAcentral.